Acromyrmex echinatior (Panamanian leafcutter ant) is the source of this 1131-nucleotide unclassified non-coding RNA. The record is from RefSeq and is a predicted model, not a curated record. NCBI's taxonomy places the organism in Eukaryota, Metazoa, Arthropoda, Insecta, Hymenoptera, Formicidae.
CUUAGUUAAGAAUGUGGAAAACGUGGACGAGCUAGCAUGAUGUUUAGCGAGUAUAGUUUAGCGAGCUUUCUCUUUUUAACUAUAUGCGAUAUUCUGCGGAUGCAUAUGGAAAGCCGGUUCUACAUUAGUUAGUAAGCCGGUCGCGAGUUUGUUGCAACGGUCAAUAUAAAACAUUGAAAUACAUCAUAAAUCAAUGAUGCGGAUCCCACAUAAUUGAUAUAAUUUUUAUAAAAAUAGAAGAAAUUGUUUGAAUGUUUUUUUGGAAUAAACGGGGAGUAAAAAGAAAAAGAAAACAAUCAUAAUGAAAACAAAGAAAUGGGAGGAGUUAGAUGUGCGACUAAGUGAUUCUGUAUUGAAAACACUCAGACAGUUGGGAUUUUUCAAUAUGACGCCCGUUCAGAUAGCUUGUAUACCUUUAUUAUUAAAUGGUAAAGAUGUUGCGGCAGAAGCAGUUACAGGCAGUGGCAAGACACUCGCUUUUCUUAUUCCUCUAUUGGAAAUAUUACAAAAACGAAAUGAAAAAUGGAAGACUAUGGAAGUGGGAGCGAUAAUAGUCAGUCCUACAAGAGAAUUGGCUAUACAAAUUAGUGAAAUUCUAGAAGAGUUCUUAAAAAGAAUUCCAUUGUUAAAGCAAGUAUUAUUGGUUGGUGGUGUGACACUUCAGAAAGAUGUAGAAAAAUUAAAGAAAGGAGCAAAUAUUAUUGUUGCCACACCUGGUAGAUUGAAAGAUAUCCUGUCUAAUUACAUUAAUUUGGGCCUGUAUAUAAAAUCUUUGGAAUUUCUUGUAUUAGAUGAGGCAGAUAGAUUAUUAGACUUGGGAUUUUCGGCGACUUUAGAUAGUAUUUUAAGCUAUUUACCACGUCUUAGAAGAACAGGAUUAUUCUCUGCAACCCAAACGAAAGAACUGGAGCAAUUGAUCAGAGCGGGACUGAGAAAUCCAGCAUUAAUUGUUGUGAAAGAAAAGUCUAACGUUUCCACGCCUGAUUUAAAACAAAGUAUAUGAUAUUUUUACCUACCUGCGCGUGUGUGGAUUAUUUCACUCGGGUUAUACAGACAUUAUUACCAUCGAUAAACGUACUUGCCUUACACGGUAAAAUGAAAAGUAAGAGAUAUAAAGUGUUUGAUAAAUUU